Molecule: long non-coding RNA, 2827 nt
Organism: Apis laboriosa (Himalayan honeybee)
Lineage: Eukaryota; Metazoa; Arthropoda; Insecta; Hymenoptera; Apidae
Exons: 4
Source: RefSeq, a predicted model, not a curated record
GCACGGCCAUGCGGUACAGUAAUUCGACGAGAUUUUACAAGCACGUGGCGAGUUAACGAGGGAGUGCAGUUGACCCGAGUGUGACGGUAUGAAGACGCGAGAUUCACGGCAAAUUACAAGAGGCCAUAAACCGCGGGACAAAACUUUCUCGAAACUUGUCGUCGUCGUCGUGGUCGUAGUAUACGUGACAAAUCUUACGUCAGUGCUACGUAACAGUGUUUAUACGUAUCCUGCCUUCACCGAUGCUAUAUGCCUUGUAUAAACAUUUCACGCAAAACGACGAAGGUUAACGAGUUAGAACGAAGCCAGAUUAUCGAGGCAACUAUUCGUUAUGUUGGAACGCUAGUGAACGCGCGUGAUAUUCGCACGUAAAUAUGCACGGUAUAUCGUAUAUACGGCGUAGUGUAUCGUGUAAUGGCGUUUAAAAAUAGCGAGACGAAUAUCCGUCUAACGAUGUACGGAAUGUAACGGGAUAUUUAGUUAUAAUAUAAUGAUAUAGUUAUAAAUAGAUUGUUUUAUUUUAUGUUGUGUUAUAAAGAUAGUAGUAAUCAUCGAUGAUUGAAAAUGUUUGUGCAAUGCAAGUACGAAAUUGAAUGGAAUAUUUGACGCGCAAAUAACUUUAUAUUCAUACUCGGAGAACUGCGCAAUAGGAUAUUAAAAUAAUUAAUUGAAGCCCGUUUCGAAUCUAAAAUUACAAAUGUGAGGCUACGUGCUACACGGAUGCGGAAAGGAUAAUGCGGUAACAUUUUGCGGCGAUGAGAGGGACUAACGAGUGAGGCCACGCGGACAAGCAUCGUACAAGGAUGAACAAGAUGGAGAAAGACGAACACAUCAUGCACGGUAACCGGCACCGUGUGCAAUGAUAGUCCACGUUAACGACCGUCGAGAGUUACAAGGCUGCAAACUGGACGCCCGGCAGACGAGACUAGACGAAACGAGACCCGUUUGCCGGCCAACCUUAAUUGCCGGCCAGGGAUUUACAGCGGUUUGCAAAGCAAAGGAAUCUUCUCGCAUGUGUCUGGAAUUUUUCUAAAAGAAAAAAUUCGUCGGGGACUCUCACUAAACUAUGCAGAGGAUAAUAUGAUGAGAAUUGAGGGACGAGUUUAAUUAGAAUGAUAUAUACGUUCGAAAAUCGCAUCGAAUUAUUUGCAACUCCAUUAAAACGAUAUCAAAAAACACUUUGAUAUCGAGGGAUACAAGAACCAAGAAUUAUGUGCUCACUGUAUCACUAUCGAAAUCGACAACUUCGUACACGUUAUCAAAAUAUGAAUCAAUUCGAGAUCUACGAAUGGACGUCUCAAUCAAAUCAAAUUGAACUCACUUUUGAAUUCAGAUCGAAGAAUAUAUACGUAAGAAUUAACAACAUAGUAUACAAUUCAAAAAUCGCAUCGAAUUAUCCAAGGAUACCGCCAAAAUAUCUCAAAAUAAAUUCGAGAUCUAGCAUCGAAUUAUCCAAGGAUCAACGAUACCACCAAAAUAUCUUAAAAUUAAUUCUAGAGCUACGAAUAGGUACAAAGACACCUCACCAAUCAAAUCAAAUAGUUAACAACGUAAUAUACAGGUCAAAAAUAGCACCGAAUUAUCUAAGGAUCACCAAUCAAAUCAAAGGGUUAACAACGUAGUAUACAAUUCAAAAAUCGAAUUACUUUAAUUAUCAAGAAUACCAUCAACAAUAUCUUAAAUUUGAGACCAACGAAUGGGUAAAAGAGUAUCUCACCAAUCAAAUCAAAGACUUAACAACGUAGUACACAAUUCAAAAAUCGCAUCGAAUUAGCCAAGGAUCAACGAUAUCGUCAAAAUAUCUUAAAAUUAAUAUUGGAAAAAGAGUAUCUCACCAAUCAAAUCAAAGGGUUAACAACAUAGUAUAUACAAUUCAAAAAUCGCAUCGAAUUACUCCAAUUAUCAAGAAUACCACUAACAAUAUCUUAAAUUCUAGAUCUACGAAUGGGUAAGAGGACAUCUCACCAAUCAAAUCAAAGGGUUAACAAUAUAAUAUAGAAUUCAAAAAUCGAAUUAUCCAAGGAUCAAUGAUAUCGUCAAAAUAUCUGAAAAUCAAUUCGAGAUCUAGCAUCGAAUUAUCCAAGGAUCAACAAUACUUUAACAAAUAUUUUAUUUUUAUUAGCCAACAAAUAUUUUAAAUUCAAGACUUACGAAUAGGUAAAAUGGCGUCCCACCAAAUCAAACACAAAGGGUUAACAACGCAGUGUACAAUUCAAAAAUCGCAUCGAAUUACUCCAAUUAUCAAGAAUUAUCAAGAAUACCACUAACAAUAUCUUAAAUUCUAGACCUACAAAUGGGUAAGAGGACAUCUCACCAAUCAAAUCAAAGUGUUAACAAUAUAAUACAGAAUUCAAAAAUCGCAUCGAAUUAUCCAAGGAUCAAUGAUAUCGUCAAAAUAUCUGAAAAUCAAUUCGAGAUCUAGCAUCGAAUUAUCCAAGGAUCAACAAUACUUUAACAAAUAUUUUAAGAAAUAUUAUAUAUAUAUUUUAUUUUAACAAAUAUUUUAUUUUUAUUAACCAACAAAUAUUUUAAAUUCAAGAUUUACGAAUGGGUAAAAUGGCGUCCGACCAAAUCAAAGGGUUAACAACGCAGUGUACAAUUCAAAAAUCGGAUCGAAUUAUCCAAGGCAAAAUACCUUAAAAUCAACUCGAGUCGAGUCGAAAGCUCGACAACUCCUUCCGCUCCCUCGCAGCUGUUGAAAACCCGUUCGAGCGCUUGGCCGCCAAAAUCGCGGUUCAAAAAUUUGGGCCGACGACUCUCAACUUAUAUAUAUAUAAUUAUUAAAAUGAAUAAUAUAAUAUAAAUUUACAAAUAAAUUUUUAUUAAA